Long non-coding RNA from Lontra canadensis (Northern American river otter), 728 nucleotides. RefSeq lists it as uncharacterized. The record is from RefSeq and is a predicted model, not a curated record. The transcript is spliced from 3 exons. Lineage: Eukaryota; Metazoa; Chordata; Mammalia; Carnivora; Mustelidae.
UGGGGCGCCUUCCCUUUCAUCCUCGGGAUUAUGACAAGUUAUUAAUUGCCACCAUUAGCCGCAGCAGCCUGCCCGAGAUCUCUGCUGCUCUCUGGAGACCCACAAAUCCUCCCCAAGCGCUCUUUACUAGCCUUGCAGAUAAUGUACUUACACAUCUCAGAGCCUGCUAAAUAGACUGAAGAGGCCAUCGGGUUCACCCUCCACACUGCGGCUGCCAGGACCGCGCAGACCCAAUGCGCGGCCUCUGCCAAGGGCCCGCGGAUGGAGACAUCAAGGAAAGGCCAUGUGAGAAGACAACUGUGUGCAAACCAGGAAGAGAGCUCUUGCCAGAAACUGACCAUGUUAGCACCUUGAUUGUGGACUUCUAGCUUCCAGAAGCAUGAGAAAAUUAGUUUCUGUCAUUUAACUUAUCCAGUCUAUGAUAUUUUAUUAUUACAACCCAAGGAAACUGAUGUACAUGCUCCUAGCACUGUACCAGACAUGAAGUAAUCAAAGAUAAAUAAGACCAAUGACUGCCCUCAAAAGCUCAGGGAUAUGUAGGAAAAAUUGACCAAUAGACAAACAAUGGCCAAAGUAAAUAUUCUGGUGGAUAACAGGAUCACCUGCUUGAAAUCAUCCUGAUUUAUUUUGUUAAGUGAACAACAAUUUUAUCUGCUCUUCAACACUUUUGAGUAUGAUUGAAGGAUUCGAUGUCGGAGCUAUUAAUACUAUUUACCAAUACUUCAGUU